GUGCACGCUGGCGGUCGGCCUAACACAUGCAAGUCGAACGGCAGCACCGUAAGAGCUUGCUCUUACGGGUGGCGAGUGGCGGACGGGUGAGGAAUACAUCGGAAUCUACUUUUUCGUGGGGGAUAACGUAGGGAAACUUACGCUAAUACCGCAUACGACCUACGGGUGAAAGCAGGGGAUCUUCGGCCCUUGCGCGAUUGAAUGAGCCGAUGUCGGAUUAGCUAGUUGGCGGGGUAAAGGCCCACCAAGGCGACGAUCCGUAGCUGGUCUGAGAGGAUGAUCAGCCACACUGGAACUGAGACACGGUCCAGACUCCUACGGGAGGCAGCAGUGGGGAAUAUUGGACAAUGGGCGCAAGCCUGAUCCAGCCAUACCGCGUGGGUGAAGAAGGCCUUCGGGUUGUAAAGCCCUUUUGUUGGGAAAGAAAAGCAGCAGGUUAAUACCCCGCUGUUCUGACGGUACCCAAAGAAUAAGCACCGGCUAACUUCGUG
This 491-nucleotide ribosomal RNA is filed under the name uncultured bacterium. Its description in RNAcentral is "partial 16S ribosomal RNA". It matches the Rfam family "Bacterial small subunit ribosomal RNA", at positions 29 to 507 of the family's 1533-position model. The record is from RNAcentral.